Chlorocebus sabaeus (green monkey) is the source of this 4952-nucleotide non-coding RNA. NCBI's taxonomy places the organism in Eukaryota, Metazoa, Chordata, Mammalia, Primates, Cercopithecidae. The record is from RefSeq and is a predicted model, not a curated record.
UCAGGAAUGGGAUCGUGCAGGGUGCUGGGGUGAUGACCCUGACCCCAGCACUGAAGGGGAGUGAAGGCAGGGCAAGAAGCAGGGUCGUCUCUGGUACCCAAGGCCCCUCCGUGCCCAAAGGAGCGACACCAGGGCGCUAUGGAGGGCAGGGCUAACAGGACAGAGGCAGGCGCUGCAGGGACUGUGAGAGGAGAGGGCGGGUGGACUGAGGACCCCACCCUGGCAGCCCCUGCCCUAGGGGAGCUCGAGGCAGCAGGAGGGCCAUGAGCCUAGGUGGGGAGAAGGUUGCUAGGGUGGAAGGUGAGCAGGCACUCUGGGGUCUCUGGUCCAACAGGUGCGAUCACAGGACGAUGGGUUUUCUACCGAGGGGGACGAGGAGAGAUCUCUGAGUCAAUGGAAGACAGGGGCCCUUUGACAGUGGGUGGCCAGGAUGCUAAUGCCCUCUCUGGUCUGCCCAAGCUCUUUGGCCCUUCAGCUCUGCCUGGCAUGGAGACCGGCCUUGGCCACCGGGAUGCCUGGGACAUGGCAGGCAUGGCAGCCCCCGGUGGGGCGCUAUGAACAGUACAUCUGGGGACAGAAGCAGGCUUGUGGACAGUGCACUGUCACUGGGCAGGCCCCAAGGCAUCUGAAGCAGGAAGUCCCCUACAGACCCCUGGGCACCAGCAUCCAACAGAGCCAGUGUCCAGUGUCCAGGACCCAGGCACCACUGGACACCAUGAACGAGGGUCCACUAAUGAGGCCUGGCCCAGAGAGCCCCCCCGUUGCCCUCCCAUGCUGAGGUGUAGGGGGACACUCUCUGAGCUAAAGGGUCAUCCUCCAGAGCAGGGGGCUGCAAGCAGCUGGGGCCAAGCCCCUCCUGGUCCUUUGGCCUAACCCUGAGAAAGAUUGGGGUUCAGUAGAACAAAAAGCGCCCCAGCCACCAUGGGGAGAGGACCCCAGGACCGUUUUCCCUGACAGCCAGCUCUGGACUGUCCAUCAGGGUGUCCAGGUCAACAGAGGACCAAAGCGUGGGGCUGUGUGGCCUCCUGUGUGGGGAGAGGAUGCCUGAGGCAGAGGGCAGGCCCCCAGGGUCUGGCGAGAGUUGGGCCUAACUGAUCAGCUCCAGCUGGCGUUUGGCUGGAUAGAUAGGGAUGCAGACUCUGUCUUCCUCCUGGAAGGAUUCAGGCUGAGCAGGCCUCAACAUCUUUAAUUCAAGCUCCAGGGGGCAGGGCAGCCGCCUGCCAGGGCUGCUGGGGAGAUGGACCCGGGAGACAGCCAUGGCCAGAGCAGGAGGAGCCACCCACAGGAGGUGGCUCAGGCUGCAGGCAGGACUUGGGAAGGGAAGGACAGGUUGUCUCAGGACAGGCCUGCAGCAGGAGCUGGGAGCUGGGGUGCCCACCCUGUCACACCCAGCCUGCCCUGCCUGCCCCUUAACCGCAUUCCUAAGCUCCACACCACGGCCAGGCAGCGGGCAGUGUGGAGGCUGAGGAGGGAGGAGUGCGGCAGCCGUGGAAGCCCAGCCAGGGGCUCUCCUCACCCACACGGCUCAUCCUGGCCCUCCCCAGCGAGAUCAAGAUCACAAAGGCAGCCCCCGCCCUCCUCUGGGGUUCGCCUGGACCCGAACCCAGCCCUGCACCCAGGAAGAAAGCUCAGCCCGGCUGGCUGGCGUCCCUGCCCCUCCCUCCUGCGGGUGGACAGCACCGCUGCCAGCUGAGGUGGCCAUGAUGAAAAAUGAAGAGAAAGAGGUGAAACUAAUUUGAAUCAUAGAUUUUAUUUAACCCAAUAUAUCCACCCAAUAUAUCCCAAUAUUUAAUCCAACAUUUCCCCACGCAGGAAGCAUUCCAGCCUCUGGCUGGGCGCCAUCAGGAUGCUGUCAGGGCGGGAGUGGGGUCUGAGGGGGAAGCACGUCCUGGAGCCCGCCUGGUGGGGUGAGGCCCCUCUUUAGAGCCCCUCUCUGCAGACCACACCUCCGGCCCUCAGAGCCCUCCCACCCGCAGCCUGCCCUGCCUGCCCCUUAACCGCAUUCCUAAGCUCCACACCCACGGCCAGGCAGUGUGUGGGGGCUGAGGAGGGAGGAGUGCGGCAGCCUCGGAAGCCCAGCCAGAGGCUCUCCUCGCCACCCACGCAGCUCAUUGGGACUCCAGGCACGGAGCUCCCGGGGGGGCAGGAGGCCAGUGGCAGGCGGGGGCUGCUGUCAGCGUGAGGAUACGCUGCUCCCGGCUGCGGCUGUGGCCUAGCGCCAACUCCACUCGGUCCCUGCCCCCACCCUCUCUCCCCUUUGCUUACCUGCAGGUGGCUUUGGUGACUGGGGAAUGGCCCAAGUGCUGCCAUUGCAGAGAUGGGGAAACUGAGGUGAGAGGAGGGAAAGCCGAGGACUCUGCAGGGACCUGCAUCCAGCAUCUUCGGGGAGCCAGUCCCUGGUGUCACCGUGUGAAUCUGACCAUGCCAUGGGCGGUAGCUCUGACCACCCCGUUUCACUGUGGGGAGGCAGAGGCCCGGCAUGGGGAGGAUGUGUGGCCAGCUCCCUCCCGCAGAGGUCAAAGGGGAGGUCAAAGGGGAGACAGCAGGGACAGAGCCCAGGCCAUUGUGAUGGAGGCAACCUGGCCAAAGAUUACAGGGGUUGGGGCCCACAGCAGUGACAGCAGGGGGUGGUAGUGACAGGGCUGUGCCCUGAGUGGGGACACUGGAUGCAGGGCAGGGAUGGGUGUCUGACAGCUCUCCCUCCUCUGGACCCCGUGAUUCCAACCACAAGACUUCAAGGACCCUUCACAAACACCCCCCUCUCCCCGCCAACAAACCUGCUCCCCUGCCCAGGCCUGAGACCCGUCUAUCAAGGAUGCUGCAAGGACCUCAGCCUGGUUCCCAUAGCAACGCCCGGAUGGUGGGGGAGGGGAGAAGAAUGGAAAUGCAGAGACACCAAAUAAAGAACAACAACCUCAUAAAAUGAGCAGUCAGGGAAAGGGCCACGGAGGGAUGGCCCCGACCCAGGCUGAGGAGGCCCCAGCAGGCACAGCCUCCAUCACCAGUCAUGUAAACAGCACUGGCAGGUGCCAGCCACUGCACAGGGCCUGAGACACAGAGGCCAAGGAGGCAGCCCCCAAGGCUGGUACACAGGGGCCUGGGAAGGGCUGCCAGACUCCAACAGUGAGUCCCUGGUUAGUCCCCUAGGUCUCAGCUCUAGAGCGGUGAGCAGACAGGCAACCCUGCCCACCUAGCACUGACCUGCCCCUCUCCAUGACCGUCCCACGGGAGGGGCUGAUCGCGUGAGACCUUAUGUGACCCAUGUGUCAGCCCUACAUCAGCCCCAGGGGGAGGCACCCUUAUCUUCCUGUUUCACCAGUGAGGAGGCUGAGGCUCCGAGAGGCCACACAGUCGAGUGAAGGGGAAGUGCCACAGCCAGGCGGGCCCGGGAAUCUGCACCGUGCAGGGAUGCUGGACAGGCGAGUCUGGCAUGGAGCAGGCAGCGUGGAGGCUGUGCUGGUCCCCUACUGCCACCGAGCAAGCAACCACAAAUGCAGGGGCUCAGACAGCACGCCUUUCUCGCCUCAUGGCUCUGGGGGUCAGGAGCCCAGCCCUGGGGCUCACUGGGCUAAAAUCGAGACGUCUGCAACCUGCGUUCCCCUGGGAGGUUUGAGGGGAGUGUCCUCUUGCAGCCACAGCAGGACCAGUCGUGGUCGCCUAGCAGCACCCGGCCUGCUUCAUGCCCACACCCUGUCUGACUCGCCUCCCUCCUCAUAGAUCCUUCGGUCACCCUGGGCCACACAGAUGAUCCAGGACAACCUCCACAUGUCAAGGUCCGCUGAGGAGUAGCUCGAGUUCCCUGCGCCCAGGAGCCUAACGUGCCUCCCUCCCCACCAGAAAGGACCUAGAACCCCCACCCACGCCCCGUCUGUGCUUCAUAGGGAGGCCCCGGACAGCAACGGAUUCGCCUGCAGGAAUGAGGAGGCGGCUGGGCCCCAUGUCCGGGGAGAACAUGUGAACGGAGGAGGCUCCUGGACCAACACCCUCAUCCACCACGCCCACUCCCAGGGCGUAGGUCCCAUCGUCCCCAGGUCCCCUGAGUGUGGAGAGACAUACUGACAUUUUCCAGCAGGAUUGCACCAGGCACCAUGGCAAAACAGGCAAGAUAAUUACGGGGGAUAAGAGAAGCUAAAAAUAGCCUCCUUCCCAGCCCAGACUCUUGGCAGGGAAGAUGCCAGAUGAACUUGCAGGAGCCCAAGACCUGGGCCCCCAGGCAGGGGCAGCCUGCAGCAGCACCCCUCACCAGGGAGCAUCCGGCAGCGCCAAGGCUGAAGAGAAGAGUCAGGGAUGCCCAAGACAUAGCAGCGACACCAGGGGUGGGGUGCAGGGAGGAGAGACAAGGGCACGGCUUCGGAGGAUGAGCGGGAGCUCACAGGCAGUGGCUGUUCCCAGAAGAAGGGCUGGAGCAGCUUCAUGGGUUCCAGGGGGCCAUCCAGAGGUAGGCAAAGGUGGUGCCAGAGAUCACCUUGAGGGCCUCAGGCCUGGCCCUCCCUCCAAGCUGGAGGAAUAGUUGGGAACCGUCUGCAGGGCUCCCCCACCCCUGGUAGACACCCUGGGCUGAGUAGCUGCUGCCUCUGGGUGCAGCCGUGGAGCAUCCCGCAGCACCUGUAACUGGCCCCACGUCAAGGCUGUGUACUGGGUGGUGGCUCAGAGAAAGGACAGCGGCCGGACCGACCCUGCUCUUUCUGGCUGAACCCCAGCUCCCAAUGUGGCUCCUCCCAGCCCGACACUUCCCCUCAGGGUCAGAGCCAGGUGUCAGUGGGACCCAGCCAUGGACAUGGGAAGGGACUCAGGACCAGACAGUGGAGGAGGGGACAGGGCCAGGUGCUGGGGGAGGGGAUACCCACCAGCCCCCGUUCUGUCCAGGGCUGAGCUGAGAAGGAGGCUGAGCUCAGAGGUCACUGAGGCAGGGCCUGUGCCUGAACCCCAGGGCUCGGGGAAGAAGGUGGUCA